This 509-nucleotide ribosomal RNA is filed under the name uncultured eukaryote. Its description in RNAcentral is "SSU rRNA". It matches the Rfam family "Eukaryotic small subunit ribosomal RNA", at positions 662 to 1177 of the family's 1831-position model. The record is from RNAcentral.
GACCUUACGGUGGGUUCUUGGUUCUCUCUCUCCAUCCUUGAGUGGCCCGUUCUGGUAUUAAGUUAUCGGGGCGUUCGCCGCUCAUCGUUUACUGUGAGAAAAUUAGAGUGUUCAAAGCAGGCUUAUGCCGUUGAAUAUAUUAGCAUGGAAUAAUGAGAUAGGACCUCGGUACUAUUUUGUUGGUUUGCGCACCAAGGUAAUGAUGAACAGGGACAGGUGGGGGUAUUUGCAUUUCGUUGUCAGAGGUGAAAUUCUUAGAUUUACGAAAGACAAACUACUGCGAAAGCAUUUACCAAAUAUGUUUUCUUUGAUCAAGAACGAAAGUAUGGGGAUCGAAGAUGAUUAGAUACCAUCGUAGUCUAUACCAUAAACUAUGCCGACUCAGGAUGGGCGGGUGUUUUAUGACCUNGUCUGCACUGUAUGAGAAAUUAAAGUCUUUGGGUUCCGGGGGGAGUAUGGUCGCAAGGCUGAAACUUAAAGAAAUUGCCGGAACGGGCACCACCAGGAGU